CAUGGUUCAUUACACGGCUUUGUUCAAUUUUCGAUUCUGAUUGGUCACUUUAGGCAUUCAGUGGUCAGAUAUUACUUUAUAAUGACUGCUGCUAUGCGUAACAGUCCGAUUUAACCUAGAACUGUUCGUAUCACUCUGCAGAAAGACGUGCCACAGCUGACAACUUUUUUUUGUGAUUGUGCCUAGUUUUAUGACUUGCGCUAGCUGUACAGUACAUUCAAUCAGAUUUGCAGUGGGCGAAGAGAAAACUGACCUAGUGUUAGCGACAUUACAAAAGGUGUGAGGCUGAAUCAGAGGCUGGGGAGCAAAUAAAUGCCGGCGACACUGACAGGGUCAGGAGAGAGACAGUGAGCCAGAAUUACAGAGGCAGAGCAGAAUAAUAAAAAAUAAAAAGUAGUUGUCUUUCAGCUAUCGAUACAGCGGUUUUGUGUUGUCUGGUCCAGUAUCCCGUUAGCCAAUGCUCCUGAAUAGGCAAGCAUGCUGUGACAUGAGGCGGUCAGCUAUGGGUAAACAAUGGCCUUCACAGAGGCAAGCCCCCUCCCCUCUGCGGCUGCCUUUAUUUCUCAAUAGCUGACCGCCUCGUCAGGGAUUAUGCCUUACAUAACAAGAUCCGGGAGGGGGGGGGGUGUGUUAAAAGA
This is a long non-coding RNA of Anguilla anguilla (European eel), 638 nucleotides long. RefSeq lists it as uncharacterized. The record is from RefSeq and is a predicted model, not a curated record. Lineage: Eukaryota; Metazoa; Chordata; Actinopteri; Anguilliformes; Anguillidae. The transcript has 2 exons.